AGAAGGAAGAAGGACACUAUGCACAGGAAAGGGAAGGAGGAGGGACCAGCAGCAUACCUGCACAGGUCUGCCUUAGAAGGGGCUGCAGAAGUGGGGCUGGCCAUGAAAGUAAGUGGAAAUGGGAUAUAUUUAGAGAUGCUAGGGCUGGAAGAAGUUUACCUGAAUAUGUCUGGGGAAGAGAGUGACUGACUAGGGUUUGCACAGCCCCCUGUGAGAGCAGAGCCUGGGUUAAUUACACCAGGAGCUCUUGAACUGUGUGAGUUAGGAGCAAAGCAAGGCAAGGUGGAAGAAUCCCCCACUGGAAUCAAAUGCCCUCAAACCUGGCCAUUGGCCCCUGGUUGAGUGGUCAGAGAGCUACAGGAGCUGAGGAAGCACAGUCCUUGAGUACCUGGGCCUCAACCAUCUCCCAGGGGAUGGCACUGGAAAAGUGCCACUGUGGGAGGGGAGAGCUAAAACAUCAGUAAUAUGCUCUGCCUCUUCCUAAUUAAAUCUCAAAUGCUGAUGUGAGGCUUCUCUGCCUGCAAGCUAAGGCUGUGGUUCAGUUGUUCUAUGCUUAUUCAGCCAAACAUUCAAGCAUGUGGUUAACUUUUUGGCACAUGACUCAGUCCUUGGGACUCUGGUGGGACUAAAUCAUGUGCUUAACUCUUAGUUUGUGCUGAAGCACUUUGUUGAACAGGAAGGGGAUCUCCUGUAUAUUUGAAGCUGAGCGUUGGAGAGCUUGUCUGUGUCACAGCCAUCUUAUUUAUGGGAUAUCAGAAACCAGGACAGGACACCACCAUUAAGCAACUUCCUGUCUUAAAAGAACUACAGGUCUGCCUUUCCAAGAAAAUGCUUAAGAUCUCAGAGGAAAAGCUUUAAGAUUAUAAUGGAGAGAAGGACUGACUUCAAAAGGAUUUCGUACAGAUGCAGGAAAUAACCAUUACCCGUCCUCACCAAAAUUGUGUGUGUGUUUAGUCGUAACUGUAAAUUUGCUUUCCUGCAGUUUAAAGAUUAAUAAAAUUCCUGAUGAAGCCAGUCAAUAAGCACCAGUGUGUUGAAUCCAAAGAAGCAAAAGUAAAUAUUAUUUCUUCCUG
Columba livia (rock pigeon) is the source of this 1073-nucleotide long non-coding RNA. RefSeq lists it as uncharacterized. The record is from RefSeq and is a predicted model, not a curated record. NCBI's taxonomy places the organism in Eukaryota, Metazoa, Chordata, Aves, Columbiformes, Columbidae. The transcript is spliced from 2 exons.